This 253-nucleotide ribosomal RNA is filed under the name uncultured bacterium. RNAcentral describes it as "partial 16S ribosomal RNA". It matches the Rfam family "Bacterial small subunit ribosomal RNA", at positions 524 to 776 of the family's 1533-position model. The record is from RNAcentral.
UACGUAGGGUGCAAGCGUUGUCCGGAAUUAUUGGGCGUAAAGAGCUCGUAGGCGGUCUGUCGCGUCGGGAGUGAAAACUCAGGGCUUAACCCUGAGCCUGCUUCCGAUACGGGCAGACUAGAGGUAUGCAGGGGAGAACGGAAUUCCUGGUGUAGCGGUGGAAUGCGCAGAUAUCAGGAGGAACACCGGUGGCGAAGGCGGUUCUCUGGGCAUUACCUGACGCUGAGGAGCGAAAGUGUGGGGAGCGAACAGG